This is a long non-coding RNA of Sinocyclocheilus rhinocerous, 96 nucleotides long. RefSeq lists it as uncharacterized. The record is from RefSeq and is a predicted model, not a curated record. Lineage: Eukaryota; Metazoa; Chordata; Actinopteri; Cypriniformes; Cyprinidae. The transcript is spliced from 3 exons.
CCCUAAGGGUGUGUUCACACUUGUCAUGUUUGGUUUGAUUAAAACGAGCCCUGGUGCGAUUGCUGUGUUAGUGCGGUUUGUUCGAGAAAGUGUGAA